UUCAACAGACAGGGAUAGGCGCCAGCAGAAUAAAAAGGGUGAUCAGGAAAAGUCAUCUAAUGUGUUGAAAAGGAGUUCUUCUCCUCUAGACAAAGAUCAGUGUGGUGUUUGCAAGGAAAAGGGAUACUGGAAGAAUGAAUGUCUGAUGCAGGCAAACAGGACACCCCCAAUACCUGAAUUAGCUGUGAAUGGGAACUGACAAGGAUCGAAGGGACUAUCCCUCCAGCAGAACUUUCAGUUGUAGCUAAGCCAGGGAAGGAUGAUGGUGAAUUUCUGGUAAACAUGGGGGAACAUAUUCUGCAUUAAAUACUUUAAAAGGGAAACUGAGUCAAGAGACUGUAAAUAUGAUCAGUGUACAGGGUCUUCACAGGGUCAGUGAAACAAGGUCUUUCUUCUGACGUUUAAAAUUUAAGUUAGGAAAACAGUGGGUGACUCACCAAUUCCUUUAUAUGCCAAAUUCCCCAAAGGCAUUAUUAGGUAGGGAUUUAUUGGAGAAAUUAGAAGCAGGAAUCACAUUUUCCAAAGAAAGUGGGAGUGAAAGUUGCAAUUUCUGAAACUAAAUUUGUCAAAGAAGCUAUUUUCAUAUAGGGGAAUUAUGGUGAAAUUCCCAAAGAAGUUGAAGAUGCUGUCGUUCCAAUAGUGUGGGCCUAUGACUUUCCUGGGAGACCCAGAAGAGCUGAGCCUGUGAGUAUUACACUCAAAUUAGGGGCUACACCAGUAAGGCAGAAACAAUACCGUUUGAAGUUAGAAGGCUAUAGGGAAUUGGCCUCUAUAACUGAGAAGUUCCUUAAAUUUGGGUUUAGAGGAAUAUGAAUCUAGAUACAACACACCCAUCCUUCCAGUAAAGAAGGCUGAUGGUAAGAGUUACAGAUUAGUGCAGGAUUUAAGAGAAAUUAACAAAACAACAGAAGAUACAUACCCAGUUGUAGCAAACCCCUACAUUCUUUUGAUCAUGCUGACAGAUGAAUUAGGGUGGUUUACUGUUUUAGAUCUCAAGGAUGCCUUUUUCUGUAUUCCUGUGAAUAAGAAUAGCCAAGAACUCUGCUUUUGAGUGAGAUAAUCCUGAGACAUGAAGGAAAACACAGUUUAACUGGAUAGUUCUACCCCAGGAGUUCAAAAAUAGACCAACAAUAUUCAGAAACCAGCUGGCAAAGGAACUGGAGGACUGGAAAAGACAAGAACCAGGAGUGAUUAUUCUUUAUUAUGUUGAUGAUACCUGAAUUGCAGCUAGAAUGCAAGGUGACUGUAUCCAACUCAGUAUAUGUCUGUUGAACUUUUUGGGACUAAAUGAGUAUAGAGUCUUGAAAGAGAAGGCAUAGGUUGCCAAGGAAACUGUAGUUUACUUGGGGCUAGAAAUCUUCUGUGGACAUUGACAACUCAGCAGAGAUCAGAAGGAAGUCGUCUGCCAUCUUCCACAGCCCCACACUGUGAAAGAGAUGCAAGCCUUCCUGGGAUGGGUAGAUUGGUGCCACUGAUGGAUGCCAAAUUAUGGACUACUGGUAAAACCUCUGAGCCCUUAAGGCAGAUGAAAAGGGAACCAUCAUGUGGACAGAGAACACCAGGGCUGCACUUAAGCAGCUGAAACAUCCCUUGAUGUCACCCCCAGCUCUGGGGCUGCAGGACUUGACCAAGCCUUUAUUUAUGAGUGGCUGAAUGUUGCUCUGGGGGUACUGGUGCAGCACCUUGGAGGUCAAUUAAAAGCUGUGGUCUCCUUUUCAAAACAUCUGUGUUAGUCAAAGAUGGCCUGGGUGUUUGAAAGCUGUGGUGGCUACUGUUGUCCUGAUACAAGAGGCCCAUAAAUUCACCCUUGGGCAGCACAAAUUCAAGUAUGUGCCCCACACACUGAUAACUGUGCUGGAACAAAAGGGAGGACACUGGCUAUCUCCUAGCAGAAUGCUUAAGUAUAACUGUGUUGUUGGAAAGAAAUGAUGUUACCCGAAAAACAACAUCUGUUGCAAAUCCUGCAAUGUUUUUGUCAUCUACAUUAAUUGACAACAUGCCUGAGCAUGACUGUUUACAGAAAAUAGAAGAGGCGUAUUGCAGCAGACCAGACCUGAAGGACAUGCCUCUGGACAAUCCAGAAUGUAUACAGAUGGAAGUAGCUUCAUGAGAAACAGUAAGCAAAUUAAUGCAGUGACAGCCAUGAAUAAGGUGAUUGAGGCAAAGGCCUUGCCAUCAGAUGUAUCAUCACAGGAGGCUGAACUCAUUGCACUGACAAGAGCUGUAGAACUGAGUGAGGGCAAGAAGAAUAGUCAGGCUGGAGAGGGCAGUUAUAAACAUCUCAGCCAUUAUUGAACAUGUUGAAUGGAAGACUGAGAAUGCAAUUUUGGCCUUAAAGGAAGAAGUCCAUGGUCUGUCUCAUGGUUAUGCAGAACAGAAUUGCUCUCAAUUUCAUACUGGCUGCACAAGGAGGACUACAGAAGAAGGCAUCAGUAUAUGCUAAAAGGAUACAAAAAAAAAGGAUAGCCAGAAGAAAAACAGAUCCCAAAUACUCACUGAGGAAACAAUGUCCUGAAUCAAGUCAUAUUUGCUUAGCAAUAAGGGAACUGGUAACUGAUGGUGACCUUUUACUAAUAGUGAUGCAUGUGAAUACAAAAUGAGUUACUUGCUUAUGGGAAGUGUGGCUGAUGCUUUCUACAAACUGAGUUCUACUCCUUUUUAGGUGGUCUGCAUGAAUGAUGGGAAGGAUUUGAUAUGGCAGAGGGAAGGAGAGAGAACUUCUGUGGUUGAAAUAGCUGUAUUGGCACACAGCUUUGCAUAUGAAUUUCUCAUACAACUACUAUCCAUUAGGACUGGAAUCCUAAUGGUCUGGACAUUAAACAGAAUUAGAGAAAAAAGGAAAUAUACUUCUAAAUUGUUUAUGCUUGUGGUCUAUUCAUGUGCAUGGCAAAACAGAUUUAGUACUAAAGCAUAAAAAUCUACAACAUAAACAAAGCAGUCAAAUAAGACAAUGGAGACAAAAUGGAAAUGUAACAGAUUAAACAAACAGUAGGAUCUACAUUUUAUCACAUAGAAUUCUAGCAAAAAAAAUAAUAUUCUCAGCUCACUGCAAGAACUGGCUCUUCUCAGCAUGGUCAGCUGUUUGAAAUAUUAUAUCCAAUAUAAACCUCCACGUAAGGCUUGAUAAAUCUUUUGUGAAGACUAUAUAGCUGUUUUUUUUUAAUUCAUAAAGGAAAAGCAAUAGUAAUCAUUAAGGUAAAAGAAGAUUAACUGAGCACAUAAACAGCAGGCAAAUAGAAUUAAAACUGUAAAUUGAACUUCACUUGAUCACAGAAUCAGUUAGAUUAAUCAAUCAUCUGAGAACAUCAAAUCCAACCUUUGACCAGACAUCAGCCUGUCAAGUAGAUCAUGGCACAAAGUACCCCAUCCAGUCUUCUCUUAAAUACCACACAUCCAUCCAGGGAUGGAUGACUCCACAGCCUCUCCAGGUGGCUUGUUCCAAUGCUUAACAACUCUUCCUGUGAAGAAAUUCUUCCUGAUAUCCAGCCUGAACUCCCCUGGUUCAGAUUGUCCUUUCAUCCUAGUCACCUGAGAGAAGAGGUCAGUCUCACUUAGUUACAUCCUUCUUUCAGGUAGUUUUAGGAAGUGAUAAGACUCCUGAGUCUCCUUUUCUCCAGGCUAAGUAACCCCAGAUCCCUCAGCUUCUCCUCAAAUGACUUACCUCUAGACUCUUCAGCAGCUUCACAGCCUUUCUCUAGACAAUGUAGGGAACAGAAAAAUCGUGAAUGAUCUGAGGGUAAAAACAAAUGUCUUCAUCAGUCUUGGAAUGCUGUCUCUCUAAUGAGACCACAAAGUGGCAUUAAAAAUCAAUCAUUUUGGUUUACUGGUCUGUUUUCUAAUUAAUUAUCACAAAGAAGCAAUGUGAUCCCUGAAAAGAGUGCAGGUAGCUGCUGUAUUGGGAUCCUUGCAGAAGACGUUAAACCUGAAGAGCUGGUGAUCUUGAAAAGAUGCAUUUCUCCUAUUGGAACUUGCACUUGAGGAUGCCGUAUAUUAUUAAUGUGAUUUGUAAAUUAAAACAUCUAUUUGGGAAAGGUAAACUGUAUAGGGAUCAAGGGAUGGAAUGUAUUGAUCCUGAUGGGAGAUCAGUGUACACAGUGUACACUGUAACUAACGUGGGACUGUGCAGGCAGCUGCCUGCAGACAGCUUCUGAUCAGCACUGCAAUGAUACCUCCUGCAUGGACUUGCCCUUAAACAGACCUGUUUUCUUGUAAGGAAGUUAAAGAUGACCUCAAAUUACUUAAAGGGUGAGUUUCUUCCCCCAGACAGUAUCUGCUCUCUGCAGUGUGCCAUGGGAAAAUCCACUGGGGCACUGUUCAAUGGUGCAUGCAGUGCCCAGCACCUGAGGAGAUGUAAGAUGUUACUAUCUACACACCUCUUCUUAGCCUGUCUUUUUGAAGUAACCUUAUUAAGCCACUUGUUGGGUCUUUCUCAUUGAAAUAUAGAGAGGCACCUGCACCAGCUCACUCUCACUUCACCCCACACCUCCAUGCAGAACAGAUGGUAUUUGGUGUUAUCAGGCCAAAGAAAUAGAGGUUUGCUUAACUACUUUUUGGAAAUAAGAACGGUAAAAACGGAAGAUUAUUUCAUUAGAGGAAUUUUUAACUCCAUAGGGAAACUUAAAGAGAAGUACCAAUAUAUAUAUGAUACACUAGAGAGAAUUUGGACUCUUUUUUUGUUAAAAUACUACCACCUUAAGGUCACCUGUAAAGAGACUAGCAGAGACUCUAUGAGAAUGGGUAUAGCAACACUGGAAAUAAUCAGCACAUGAAUAUUUUUCAGCUGUUAAAAUAAUGAAAGCACAGAACUCCAAAUAAAGCUCAGCCUAUGUGCAACUACAGGCUUUUUUUCUGGAAAAUAUUAAGUCUUAUUUAAUAAAGAAAUACUAAUAAACAGAUUGCUUUGAUAAUGAGCACUGAUGAUGAUCUUGAACUCAUAAGCUAUAUAUUAUAAACAAAUCUGGUCAUUAUGAGAUUAAACACUUUCAGUGAAAAGUAUCUGUAAUGUCAAUGAGUAACUUUGAUUAUGGGUCAUAAUUAUGGCCAUAAGUAUAUGGGUCAGAGUUCUAAUUCUUAAACUAUUCUUUGUAAUUUGCAAUUGUAAUAAUGUAAAGGAACCAAAAAAAUAGAUUUACAAGUAGAAAUUUAUUACAAAUUGCAGUGAGAGUUCCCAAGUCACUUACCUAAAUAAAUAACAGCUUUUUGAAAGCUAUCUGGAAUAGUAAAUUACUCACUUGUAUGAAUGUGCCAAUAUUUAGUAAGUUCUAUGAUCCACAAAUUUUAUGUAAAGGGAACAAGAUUAAGUGUAUGCAUAUACAAACAAUAAAUCAUACCUUCAUACGAAAACUUGGAAAACUAUUGCAUGUGAAGGUAUACAUUCUCAUGCACGUUAUGCUGUGAAUGCUAAAAACCUUCAGAGUACUAACAACGUGGAAAACAACUUAGACACUCUCCAUUGCUAAUAGCACAUUACCAGAAACUUAAAAUGGUAUUUCUGUAUUGUUAAAGUUCUCUUCUAUCUAACUGACAUUUUACUCAUCAAAACAAAAUUCAGGUUUUCCAUCUUUUUGGAUGGAAAGAACAGUAGGGGGAGCUCAAAGCUUUUUUUUUUUUUUUUUUACUUGUAAAUCUCAGCCUUAUGACUAGGUUCUUAGCAGAAGCAGAUAUAAGUGACAAAAGUUUUCCCUCAUAAGAAGUUUGAAUAUCCUACAUAGUUCAAAAUACAGCUACAAUUACUCUCAGUAUCCAAACUAAAAUUUAACCACUGAUUAUUCUGAAAAUUUCCCAGUCUCUUCAAAGUUGCAGUUCUGUUAAACACUCUUUAUUUUGGGGUAAAAGGAAAUUAUCUACUUUCAUUCUCCUUAAAUAUGUAACCAUCAAAACAAAACCGAAAUUUCAGAUGAUUCUUUAAUUUAGAUUCUAUGUAAGGCAAUGGAAAUCCACAAUUCAAAAUACUGUCAGAUUAGGAAGCAGUCCCAUAGAAAUACAGUACACUGACAAUUAUACCCAUACCAGGGUAAUAUAUGGGUUUUAUCCAAAAUGGUAUUUAAAAAAUCUUAGCACUCUAUCCAAUUGUCUAUGUAUGUCCAAAGCAGCAUUUUCUAAGUGUUGAAAAGUCUCUUUUCUCUGUCUCUUAGGACACGUUAUCCUUUUCCCUACUAAUGAAUUUCUGUAAUCCCCUUAAAUAUUAUUAUAGAUUCACCAAUCUUCCUUAAGAGUAUAGUGUACUAUCUAAAUUCCAUGUUUACUGCAGGGGAAUUUGACUAAUAACAGCAAUCACUGCACUGCUACUGUUAGCUGUGCAUCUCAAGCAUGACAAUUUUUUCUAUUUCUGACCAAAUUCAAGCUCACAAAUGGUCCCAUGCUGGUUCAGGAAACAUACUAUCUGGCUAUCUGAGGUUAUAGUUAUAUAAACUGAGGUUAUAGGUAUGACUAAAGUUAUGUAACUGUAACUAUAGUUAUAAAAUGAGGCUUGCAAUCCAACCCACAUUUUUACUUAAGUACGUAACUGAGUGCCUUGAUUCCUGUUCAAUACUUCCUAAAGUAUCAAAUGGAAGCAAAUUAUUUUGCUAUCUUCAAACUCAGUUUUCUCCAUUACUUUAAAUACUUCCACGGAAAUACUACUUUUGUCAAGUAUUUGUGAUGGCUUUACGUAAGACUUAAUAAGGACCAUUUUUUCUAAGUACCACAAGCUUUUCUAAUAGAUCUUCGUAUAGAGAAAGAAAGAAAUACCUCCUGUAUUAGAGUACUUGCACUUAGAGGAAAACACUGAUCACCUGUUGUCCUAAGAUCCUUCUCUGCAUUCACUUUAAAACCAUAAAUACUUGAAACAGUCUCCUGAUGGACUUCCGUUAUAAUGUUUUUAAAUUAUAUAUAUCAAUAAAAAUAAUUUAAUUGCACAUCUGAAAAUGCAAUUGACUAGGUUAUAA
This is a non-coding RNA of Cyanistes caeruleus (blue tit), 6926 nucleotides long. The record is from RefSeq and is a predicted model, not a curated record. Lineage: Eukaryota; Metazoa; Chordata; Aves; Passeriformes; Paridae.